This 500-nucleotide ribosomal RNA is filed under the name uncultured bacterium. Its description in RNAcentral is "partial 16S ribosomal RNA". It matches the Rfam family "Bacterial small subunit ribosomal RNA", at positions 30 to 523 of the family's 1533-position model. The record is from RNAcentral.
AUUGAACGCUGGCGGCAUGCCUUACACAUGCAAGUCGAACGGCAGCGGGGACUUCGGUCCGCCGGCGAGUGGCGAACGGGUGAGUAAUGUAUCGGAACGUACCAUUCAGUGGGGGAUAACUAUCCGAAAGGAUAGCUAAUACCGCAUAUUCUGUGAGCAGGAAAGCAGGGGAUCGCAAGACCUUGCGCUGAUUGAGCGGCCGAUAUCAGAUUAGCUAGCUGGUGAGGUAACGGCUCACCAAGGCUACGAUCUGUAGCGGGUCUGAGAGGAUGAUCCGCCACACUGGGACUGAGACACGGCCCAGACUCCUACGGGAGGCAGCAGUGGGGAAUUUUGGACAAUGGGCGCAAGCCUGAUCCAGCCAUGCCGCGUGAGUGAAGAAGGCCUUCGGGUUGUAAAGCUCUUUCGGCCGGGAAGAAAUCGCAUCAGCUAAUACCUGGUGUGGAUGACGGUACCGGAAUAAGAAGCACCGGCUAACUACGUGCCAGCAGCCGCCGCAG